This 391-nucleotide transfer-messenger RNA is filed under the name Salinibacterium sp. It matches the Rfam family "transfer-messenger RNA". Rfam says of the family: Bacterial tmRNA, also known as 10Sa RNA or SsrA, is named for its dual tRNA and mRNA-like properties. Its role is to liberate the mRNA from a stalled ribosome. Lineage: Bacteria; Bacillati; Actinomycetota; Actinomycetes; Micrococcales; Microbacteriaceae. The record is from Rfam by way of RNAcentral.
GGGGAUGAUCGGUUUCGACACUGCCUGCAAAACCGCGAGAAGCGGGUCGAGGACGCACGGUUAACUCGUUAACGCUCCGCGCAAAACACAAGUGCCAAUUCCAAUAGCACUGUCUCUGCCAAGGCAGACCUCGCCCUCGCGGCGUAGUCUCCUCAGCAACUAAUGAGACCGUCAGGCCGGGAAUGCUCUCUACCCGGAUCCUGGCGUCAUCCAGAGAGAUUGCUGCGUUCCUGAGUCUCAGGGGCACGCGGGACUUAAACUGAGGCUGGGCCUGUUGACCUGGAUGCUCGUGGCAAGGGUCAGGGCCGAGUAGAACGCUUUACGAGAUACGCCCGUAGAAGGCGUGGGAUUACAGCAGUGGACCGGGGUUCAAUUCCCCGCAUCUCCACCA